UUUUUAAAUGUAAACAGAAAAUUUUAAAUUAUAUAUGUGACUCACAUUACAUUUCUAUUGGACAGUCUUUUCUCAUCCCCAACAUGGCCCCUUCCGGGCCUUCUCAAGGAGCAGCAUUAGCUCCUGCCUGCAGCCGGUCCUGGGUUCUUUCACCUGGCUCCCUUCAUUGGGUUGUCUGUAGAUGUAUCUACAUUGUCGUACAACUACAACAUAGUACACUGACCAGUAUAAUCUCAUCUAUUUCCUAUCUUUUGAAAAGUGUUUGAAUUUCUGGUCUGUUCCUUUUUUCUCUUUUUUCCUCUCUCCCCACCCUAACCACAGGUAUUAAAUUAGUCUUCUUUGUUCUGCUUUGUCACAUCUUUAGGAUUUAGGAGGGACGAGAAGUAAAGAUAUUUUUAUUCUGUCAAUUGGGAAACAGAAGAAUUGACUGAUUUUUAUCACUAUUUUGAACAACAGUACAGUGGUCAUCUUUAUGCAUAAGUCUGUCUGUAUCUCUAGAUAUUUUCUUAAGAUGGUUUCUGGUUCAGAUUAUAUGACUUUUUUUUAUGGCUCUUGAUAUACAUAUCGACAAAUGUAUUCAAAAAAAAGAUACCAAUUUAUGUUCUCUGUGGGUUGUUCAAUAAAAGAUGGGAGCAGUUAUCCAAAAGGUGCCAGAUUCCAUCUGAAUCCUCUUAUGUGGGCCUUUUAUCUCAGCUUCCAUGGAAAGAAAGCAUGUCCUCUUUUCUGAAUCACUUAACUUUUAUGAGUCUUCAUUUUCUUAUUUGUAAAGUAGCAAUAAUCAUGUCCUAAAGUAAUGUGCAUAAUAACUCGCUGAAGGCAAUAUUUCCAUUAAUUCAUUUUUGCAAGUGUUUGAGAGUCUCCUACUUAUACUGAGUACAUGUGCUACAGAAGGAACUAUGCGGGGUGUCCAAAUGAUAUAGACCGUGGCCUCAAAACAGAUUUCUAAUGAAGAGACUAGAGCGGGAAAUAAGACACACUCAGAAGAAACUGUCUCUUAGUGACUUGUAAUGAGGUAGAUGCGUGACAUUAAAGGGGUUUAGAUGGAAAAGGGUUUGCACUCCACUUAAAAUAUAAAAGAAGACAGCCUAGAGGAGGUGGCACUUAAGGUAGGCCUUGAAGGAGGAGUAUAAUUUCAACGUAGUUGGGAAGUAGGGGGAGGGUGUAUGAGGUGUGAGAAAGGCACAGGAGUGAGUUCUAAACAGAAAGUUGAUAAUGUUCACUAAGGUAUUGGCAGAAGGUAAGGAAAACAAACAUUUUUGUUUCUCUGAGUAUACUUAUUUUCAUGUGCCAAACAAUAAGGUACUUUCUGUAUUUAUUUCUGUUGUGCUUCAAUAGGGAAGGCGGGGAGAAAUCAUCUUACUCAGUUUGGGCUCUGGCCAGAACUGAGUAGGCGAAGUUUGUCCAUAGGGACAAGAACAUAAUAUAUUUACACUGGCCCUUCUCUCCCACAGAGGUCGGAAAUUCUGAGGCAUUUUUAAAUAGUUCUGAGCCUGUGACACAUUACACUCAUCCCACCAAAUGAUAACUUGCAUCAGAAAUAUUGAGAUGUGGCCAGAGAAAGAAGAUUCCCGAAGAGAAGAAUAACUUAGACAGAGGAUGGGCUGCCAAUAGAGAGAGGAAAGGGAAGGCAUUAGACCUUUGGUGUCAUCAUGAAAAGUAGGAAGAAGAGCCAAAUGGAGGUGAAGGUAUCAACUCUACUCAUGGCUGCCCAGUGGUUCCUCAAGUACAGUCUAGAGAUGUAAGUCUAGGAGUGCUCCAUGCACUGAGUGAAAUCUAAACCCCUCAGGACUACAUAGAAUAAGAGAGGAAGCUAAGGAUGAAAUCCUGAGGGUUGUAGUUCUUAAAAGGAUCCUCAUGAAGACUGACAAGGAGCACAGAGUUGCAGGAAAUUAUGGUGUCAGAAAAUCCAAAGGAUUUGGGAGCAGCAUUUAGGAAAAUAAGGAGUGCCCACCUGCCUCAAAUGCUGCCAAGAAAUCAGUGACGGUGUGAGCCGCAACCACAAACGCAUUCAUGGGAUUUUACAACAAAAGAAGUCUUAAAAAAAAAAAAAAAACACCCACAAAACUUGCUGUUCUCCCAUCCCAACCUCCCUAGAGUCUAAUCACAUAGGACCGUCUACGUUUUGUUUUCCAGUGUACCUUCACAAUGGCUCCCAUUGGGUAUAAAAAUAUGACACUGAAAGAU
Molecule: long non-coding RNA, 2184 nt
Organism: Myotis davidii
Lineage: Eukaryota; Metazoa; Chordata; Mammalia; Chiroptera; Vespertilionidae
Exons: 2
Source: RefSeq, a predicted model, not a curated record